GAGGGCAGUGUGCUGUCGGUUCUCGUGCGGUGCGGUGGGCUGGCUAGCCGGAGCUCUCGAGGCAGUCCAUGUGCGCCAACGCCAUGGCGAUCAACCUGAACCAGUUCCAGAUUCGCUAUCCGGACUUUCCGAAGUAUCUGUGGGAGUCGCCUACGCCCUACUCCGAUGCCAUGAAUAUCAAGAAGAGCCGUCGCAACCCGGAACACACGAAGCGUCCGCUCAACACAUUCAUGCUCUUCGCCAAGAUCCAGCGCGAGUACAUCACGGCGAACUUCAGCUGCAACCACUCUGAGAUCUCCAAGGCGCUGGGCCGCCUGUGGCAGGACCUCAGCAAGGACGAGAAGGAGCCGUUCAUGCGCGGCGCCAAGACUCUGGUGGAGCUGCACCGGCUCGAGUACCCCGACUACAAGUACCGGCCGCGCAAGAAGGGACAGCCCAAGGAGACGGUGGCCAAGACGACCGCCUCCCCUGCCGCCAAGAAGAACUCGUCGCGUCAGGAGCGUAAGCCGGUGGUGGCAGCCAGCUACAUGUCUCCGGCUAGCCCGCCGGGUCUGACCGCCGACCCGAGGUACCUGGGCGGCGGCGGCAGCCCGCUGUCGGCCGUGGCGGCGCCCGACAGUCCGCUGUCCUCGUGCUACGGCGGUGUGUCGCCGCUGUCGCCGGCCGGCUCGUCGCACUGCCAGGCCAGUCCGGCCAGCGUGCUACACACGCCCUACAGUCCGGUGCCGUCUAUCGGCUCCUCGAGCGGCUACGAGUCGGAGAUGUCCUCGGGCCUGGCGGCGCACGAGCUGUCGGCCGGCGCCGCCGAGGAGGCCGCCUUCUACGACAUUUCGCCGGCCGGCCACUGCCCCUUCUCGCCGGAGCCCGAGGCCGACAUGGACCUGGAACUGCGCGAGCUCGACGUGCAGCCGCUCGACGAGGAGUCGUCGCUGCUCAACCCGCUGGCCAUGUUCCCCGUACUGGACCUGUGCAGCGACGACCUCGACGACCUGGCCUUCGCCUUGUAGGCGGCGCCAGGCUCGGCCGCGCUGACGACGCUCCGGUACAAAUGGGUGUGCAUGAUUCUGGCUGUGGACUGUGUGGCUGGCGACCGGGCGGCGGCCGGGACUGAGGUCGCCGACCCGGUCUGAACGGGUCACUUGAUGGGACCUGAAACGGAUCUAGAAUGGCUGAAGUGGUCUCUUAACGGAAACGUUUUCUGUUAGCGUUGAGCGCUGACUUUUAGAGAUGUCUGUGGUCUGAAGUUGAAGACGAUCUUAUGUGUUAAGAGGACUGGGUUGUGGCUAGGGAUGGCCGUUUUAUGUUUUAAUCAAAAUUGAUUCUAAUGUGAGGUGAAGCAGGCCGAGUCUCCACAUCUGGCAGUUGCUUUCGGAUCGGUCUACUUGAAGAAGGGCCAGAUAAUGGUUGAUUUUAUUGUAUUGUUGAGGGCAGUUUCUUGAGGCAUUUUUGCUAGUCCUGUACGGUACUGUGUAGAAUCCGUAACGAUUUUGAUGGACUUAGCCGAGCUGCCAUUAAGUUGAUUAUGCGCGUUUUAUUUAUUUUCCAACUGAUCUCAGUUAUUUGAAGUUAGACGGAAGCGGUUAUCGUUGUCAAUGAAAGAUAAGGUUCGGCCCAAAUUUAUCAUUAGGUUAUACGAGGAAUGACAGAGAACACUUAUCAUAAAGUUAGGGCUAUAGAACUUAUUCAAACAUACUACCGUACUUUGGAGGUGCUCUGGUUUGUAACUUAUAAUUGACAGGACUUUUGGGGGAAUUUGGUAAGAAACAUUUAGGUAAGAUCGAUUAUUUUGCGUUGCCAGCCAGCUGCUGAAGGAUUGCUGUCGAAUUGAGGACAUUUGACGAAACUUGUAAUCUUCUAUCCACUCUGACGUGUCUGGGCUAGAUUUGAACGCCCAUUUUCAAGUAAUAGUGGGUAGUCUUUGAUAGCAUAGUUUGUGUGGUUCAGCUCGUGAAAUUCGUCUGUGUCAAUAGACGUAGGUUUUAGAGCGUGGACGAGCACUUUUGCGAGCACGAGUCACGUGACAGGAGGAGGCACAAAUUGAGUUAUUACCUCACAAUGAACAUGCCUGAGACAUUGACCAGAUGCCUAUAUUUUCCGGCCGUGGAGGCCGCGCUGGCAAUACGUGAGUUAGUGUUUGUCAAUUGUCAUCGAUAUAGUAGGGCCCGUAUCUUUCCGACGGGGCGUUAUUUUUACAUGCAUACCAUACCGUGGAGCUUCUCAUAACUCACUAGCAUUCAGAUGUGCCUACCACCGCCGGCGGCUGACGUGAAAACGGACGCAUGCUCGCAGGGGUGAAAGGUGCAAUCGACUCGGGGUAACACGCGCCAUGUUUGAAAUCCACAAUUGGAUCACAUCUCUGCCGCUGUCUGCGCACAGUGCGGUUGUUAAUUUCAGCUCAAAGAUCUCCUUAGGAUGGCCUCGGGCUGGCCCCGGACCGCGCCAGCGAGUGGUCACGUGCUCCGUGCGCGUGCGCACGUGCAGUUUGUUUGGCUCAGAGCGAGGCGCAGUGAACAGUUUGCUCAUUUGCCAUCGUUCGACGGGCAGUGUUUGGUUUAUGGUCGGACGGCUCGGCGAUUGGCCGAGGCCCACUGAACGCCCUUGUAAAUAUGUCAGCCAGCCGGGACGACUCGAUAAUGUGCUGCAUUUCGCUUGUGAUUGACGGUGUAUCUAGUCGAACUUCGUAAUUUUGUAUGAAGUGCGUGUGUUCAGAGCUGUAUCGUUUGUUACCAAUAUAUCACGCCUCCACAAA
RNAcentral lists this unclassified non-coding RNA (2749 nucleotides) under Amphibalanus amphitrite. RNAcentral's name for it is "transcription factor SOX-21-like, transcript variant X1". The record is from RNAcentral. Lineage: Eukaryota; Metazoa; Arthropoda; Thecostraca; Balanomorpha; Balanidae.